CUGUUUAGCAACAGGAAAUAUGAUUUGAUGGAAAGGUCAUGCAGACCAGACUGUUUUCUAUUCAUUUACAGGGUAAAUUAUGUUAAACAGCAGCCUUGGAAGGCUGCAAAUUGCUGUUGCUGGACACAUUCAUGAAAACACAAAUUGAUAAGUUCAUUAAGAGCAUUUAGGACUCUGGGCAGAAGACCAUAGUAAGAUGUUGAAUUCAAUAAAUCAUCCUCAAUCAUUCAGGCAGAGCCAUUUUAUUAGGGGUCUGAAAGAAGCCAUAUCUUAAUUGACCUAAGGAGCACAUGCACAUACACUCAAACAAGUUUCUGUGGAUUUUAAAAGCAGGCACUUUACUAACUCAAGGAUUGAUUUUAAUACACCAGGUUUUUUAUUAUUAUUAUUUUAAUACACGCUGCUGUAAAAUGCCCCAAAAUAUUCAAUAAAUUCUGACGUAAAUGUGC
Long non-coding RNA from Xiphophorus couchianus (Monterrey platyfish), 449 nucleotides. RefSeq lists it as uncharacterized. Lineage: Eukaryota; Metazoa; Chordata; Actinopteri; Cyprinodontiformes; Poeciliidae. The transcript is spliced from 2 exons. The record is from RefSeq and is a predicted model, not a curated record.